Molecule: small RNA, 2319 nt
Filed under: Pongo abelii (Sumatran orangutan)
Lineage: Eukaryota; Metazoa; Chordata; Mammalia; Primates; Hominidae
Description: retained intron
Source: RNAcentral
GAACAUUUUCAUCUUCCAGUUGCAGCUGGCGUGGGGCUCUCGCCUGUGAUCCCAGUACUUAAGAGGCUGAUGGGGGAGAAGCACUUUAGGCCAGGAGUUCAAGACCAGCCUGGGCCACGUAGUGAGACCCCCCCCAUCUCUACAAAAAAUAAAAAAAUCUUCCAGUUGCUCCAUGUGGAGCCCCUCUAGAUUGUCAGUGAUAGAAACCACUUCAAACUGGCUCAGACCUAAAAUAGCGAUGAUUUUGUGGCUCACGUAACUGAGGAUUCCAAUGGGCACAGCUGGUUGCAGGCCCCGCUGGACCCAGUUCUCUGCCAGCCCCAGGCCACUUUCUGGCAGCUUCCCACCCAGUGUCAGAGCCUGUCCCCACGGUGGUGUCUCACACCAUCUUCACCCCUCAAUUCCAGGGAUGAUGCUUCCUGGCCCAGCUGGGCUCCAGUGCCUUCCCUGAACCACCCUCAGUGACCAGGGUGGGUGACCAGACCUGGGGUGGGGUUGCCCUGCUGGAGUCCUGUGGAAGGAGGGGAGAAGGUGGCUCCUGUGCUGGGUGGGCAGGGGGCACGUCUUGUGGAGUCCAGCUCUGUCCUGGCUUCAGUCCCUGCCCCACACAACCUUAAAAUUCCUUCCCACCCUCAAAGCCCAGCUUGGGUGUCCUCGGGGGCCUUUCUCCCCCCUUCCAGGGGGCUUCCUGCUCUGCCGCAGGUACCUUUUGUUGCCCUUGUCGCAGGCCACAAGCUCUGCAGGCCGUGAACAGAGAGUGUCCGAGAGCGGAACUAGUGGAGGUGGGGGACAGAUGGCUGGGCUGGUGAAUGCUGGCCUCGAAGGCUGAUGGCCCAGAAGCCCUGUCAUCUGGAAAUCCCCAUUUGCCGUGGGGUGUGGGACGUUCCCGGGGCGGUGAGCUGUCAAGGAGCACAGCGCAGGCAGCUCUGAGGACCCUCCCCGAAUCCGCAUGCCUGCAGCCUACACCCUGGCCCGUGUCUAUGGCGUGGAGAGUGACCUCUCAGAAGUGGCUCGCCGGGGCUCCGGCAGCGCCUGCCGGAGCCUGUAUGGGGGCUUUGUGGAGUGGCAGAUGGGAGAGCAGGCUGACGGGAAGGACAGCAUCGCCUGGCAAGUGGCCCCCGAGUCACACUGGCCUGAACUCCGCGUGCUCAUCCUUGUGGUGAGCGCUGAGAAGAAGCUGACAGGCAGUACUGUGGGCAUGCGGGCCAGUGUGGAGACCAGCCCCCUGCUGCGGUUCCGGGCUGACUCCGUGGUGCCCGCGCGUGUGGCGGAGAUGGCCCGCUGCAUCCGGGAGCGAGACUUCCCCAGCUUCGCCCAGCUGACCAUGAAGGACAGCAACCAGUUCCACGCCACCUGCCUCGACACCUUCCCACCCAUCUCUUACCUCAAUGCCAUCUCCUGGCGCAUCAUCCACCUGGUGCACCGCUUCAACGCCCACCACGGGGACACCAAGGUGGCGUACACCUUUGACGCAGGCCCCAAUGCCGUGAUUUUCGCCCUGGACGACACUGUGGCUGAGUUUGUGGCUGCUGUGAGGCACAGCUUUCCCCCAGGCUCGAAUGGAGACACGUUUCUGAAGGGGCUGCAGGUGAGGCCGGCCCCUCUCUCAGCUGAGCUUCAGGCUGCGCUGGCCAUGGAGCCGACCCCCGGUGGGGUCAAAUACAUCAUUGCCACUCAGGUGGGGCCAGGGCCUCAAAUCCUGGAUGACCCCUGCGCCCACCUUCUGGGUCCUGAUGGCCUGCCGAAGCCAGCUGCCUGACUGCCUCAGCAGGGACCGCACGCCGCUUGGAGAAGGGGUGGCCUCGCCAGAGCUAGGGAGCGGGUGUGGUGGGCUGGCCGGACUACUGGGACAUGUGGGUGGUGGCUUGAUCCCGGGCCCAUGGACAGCUUGCUGUGGGGCAGUGCAGGGAGUCCUGCGGCCGCCCAGGUGUCAGGAGAGGUCCCCGCCGAGUGCUUCAGCUGCCCUAAGCUGCACCAGCGCCUUGCCAAGAUGGGAUGGGGUGGGGGUAUGAGAACUGGCAGAGCCUCGGUGCAGCAGGGCUGAAGGGCUUUCUCACCCCGCUCUGGCUACGCCCAGUUCUCUGAGACAGGAGCUCAGUGGGGAGGUGGUGUCCCUCCAACGGACCAGGGAAGGGGUCACUGUGCUGGGAGCAGCCUCCUUGGGCCUCAGGAAACCACCAAGUGCCUCAGAUGGUGGCUGCCCACGGCACUUCUGCUGAGACCCUGCCCCAGGCCUAGGUGUGGCUGGAAUGGUGGCAGGAGUGGGCACCAGUGCGGCCCCGGUGGCCGUGGGGAAUAAACUAGCAUUGCUGCCUCCUG